This 947-nucleotide long non-coding RNA is filed under the name Macaca mulatta (Rhesus monkey). RNAcentral's name for it is "lncRNA (ENSMMUG00000061860.1)". Lineage: Eukaryota; Metazoa; Chordata; Mammalia; Primates; Cercopithecidae. The record is from RNAcentral.
AUAGGAAAUAAUAAAUAUUCACAAAAUUAUAAAAGUCUCUCUCACUGACAUUUGUAGACAACCACAACUGAUCUGAAGUGUCUUCAUACUAACUGUUCACCCCAUGGAGUGGUUGCAGCCAAAGUAGGAUCGUUAGCAAGUAAAGUUGGAGAAGCCAUUUUGUGUCUCAGGAUUGCAUUCAGGAAUACAGGAGAGUUCUUAGCAUGACUGAGACCAUAUAGCCAUUUACUUGGAAGCUGAAGUCCCUGUCAUGGAUAUCCUAACACCAAGCUCAGUUCUACAGCAAAGCAAAAGUGUACUCACUGGGCAGACAGAUACUGAUUACAGGACUCUCUCUAGAGACACGGCUAUACCCUGAAUCUAUUUGCUGCCCCCUGAACAUACUGGGCACCAGGUACCCAGAGAUGGGACAGCUGGAGGAUGGGGAAUGGAGAGGAUCCAAAGGCACUAAGAACUGUCUUGGCCUUUCUACAAUAAAUUUCCCAGCAUGACACAGAAGCCCAGUUACACACUUGCACACACACCACUGAGCCUCCCAAGUGUUGAAAUUCUACAUCCAGGCAUAUAUUUAAACUAAGAAAUUUAAAAAGAAACUACCAUGUCCAGCAAUACUUUAAUCAUCCAAAGUAGUAAUAGUAAAGGUAACUGAUGCUAACGUCUAUUAAUGCCACAAAACAUUAAAAAACUCAAGAAGACAAAGAAAUCUACCCUGAUAAAUAUGAAUAUAUGUUUUAAUUUAUGCUUUUUUAUUUUUAAUUUAUGCUUUUCUUGAAAAAUUAUUGUCUUCCAAUGAUUAAUUCUUUUGAGUCAGGGUUAUGUAUGGUUUUGCCCUGAAGCUUUCUUUCUAGAAGAAAUCCCUGGUCUCAGUUUGCUUUCUAGACAAUGAUAGGAGAAACCAUAGGAAAAUGUAAUUCAAAAUCAAAAAGGCCCGUAACUGUCACUUUCUG